RNAcentral lists this ribosomal RNA (492 nucleotides) under uncultured bacterium. RNAcentral describes it as "partial 16S ribosomal RNA". It matches the Rfam family "Bacterial small subunit ribosomal RNA", at positions 29 to 507 of the family's 1533-position model. The record is from RNAcentral.
AGUGAACGCUGGCGGUAGGCCUAACACAUGCAAGUCGAACGGCAGCACAAUAAGAGCUUGCUCUUACGGGUGGCGAGUGGCGGACGGGUGAGGAAUACAUCGGAAUCUACUUUUUCGUGGGGGAUAACGUAGGGAAACUUACGCUAAUACCGCAUACGACCUACGGGUGAAAGCAGGGGAUCUUCGGACCUUGCGCGAUUGAAUGAGCCGAUGUCGGAUUAGCUAGUUGGCGGGGUAAAGGCCCACCAAGGCGACGAUCCGUAGCUGGUCUGAGAGGAUGAUCAGCCACACUGGAACUGAGACACGGUCCAGACUCCUACGGGAGGCAGCAGUGGGGAAUAUUGGACAAUGGACGCAAGCCUGAUCCAGCCAUACCGCGUGGGUGAAGAAGGCCUUCGGGUUGUAAAGCCCUUUUGUUGGGAAAGAAAAGCAGCAGGUUAAUACCCCGCUGUUCUGACGGUACCCAAAGAAUAAGCACCGGCUAACUUCGUG